This 213-nucleotide ribosomal RNA is filed under the name uncultured bacterium. RNAcentral's name for it is "partial 16S ribosomal RNA". It matches the Rfam family "Bacterial small subunit ribosomal RNA", at positions 524 to 732 of the family's 1533-position model. The record is from RNAcentral.
UACGUAGGGGGGCAAGCGUUGUCCGGAUUUAUUGGGCGUAAAGCGCGUGUAGGCGGCCAGGUAGGUCGGUUGUUGAAAACUGGAGGCUCAACCUCCAGACGUCGACCGAAACCAUCUGGCUAGAGUCCGGAAGAGGAGAGUGGAAUUCCUGGUGUAGCGGUGAAAUGCGCAGAUAUCAGGAAGAACACCGGUGGCGAAAGCGCAUCUGGCUAA